RNAcentral lists this long non-coding RNA (2528 nucleotides) under Homo sapiens (human). RNAcentral's name for it is "HSALNT0327717". The record is from RNAcentral. Lineage: Eukaryota; Metazoa; Chordata; Mammalia; Primates; Hominidae.
UGGAGAGGGCGAGAGUGGUGACUAAAGAGAGGAGCCUUUCCUCCCCUUUUGCCUGCGCUCCGGCGCGCGGAGAGAGGGAGGUAGGGAGAGAGACAAACACAGAGCUAGAGAAAUUGAAAGAGAAACAUUCUCGAAGGCAAAGAGUUGAAAGGUGAAUCUACUAAGAAAAGAAUAACAGAGUGCAAUUAGCCAUGGAACUACAUCUCCAUCUGCCUCCUUUAAAGGAUGAGUCCUUUAAAGAGCCUUUGGAAGGAAUUGGGCCAUGAGAAGAGCCCUCAUGAAUGGGAUUAGUUCCCUUAUAAGAAGAGACACCAAGGAAGUGAUCUUUCUCUGCCCUCUGCUAUGUGAAGACAAGGUCAUCUGCAGUUUUUUGUUGUUGUUGAUGAUCUUCCUGUCAUAGACAAUGCUGUAACAAACAGACUAGAGAUAAUAAGCUCACUUUACCUCAGGACCUUUGCAGCAGCUCUGCCCUGUGCUUAGAUUGAUCUGUCACGAAACCUUAAAGUCUGGCUGAUUCUCAUUCUUCAGAUUCCAGGGCAAGUGCUAAGUCCUAAGUGCUAAGUGGUUACAAGGGACCCCAGAAUCAUGCUGGAGGUGAAACAGUGACAGAACGGGCACUUCCAGUAAGAAACUGAAGACUGGCUGCACAUCAAUUCACUCAGCGACUGGAGGUAGAGCUUUUGGAAACAGGUAAGUUACUAAAUGUGAAAUUCAAGUGAUUAAAAGGUUUUGACACCAAAGCAACUAACUUCAUACCAUAGUUUGGCAUUCGUUGUCUCAGAAGAGAAUUAGCAUUUAGAAACUGCAGCCUCAGAGAACUGUGAGAAGGCUUUCAGGCACUGAGAAGGAGCUCCUAGAAGGAGAUCAACCCAACAUGGAGUUGUAAGCAAGUACUACAACACAGAGUAAGAAAAGCCACAAUAAGGUAGAUACUGAUCAUCUUUAUUUUCUAGGCAGAUUUUAUUUUGUAUGUUGUAGAUUUUGCUAUUAUUCUAGUUUAAAGGGACUUAUCUCAAUUCACAGUUCAGUUAAUCUUGAUUUAUUGUACAAGUUCUUAAAAAGUUAUCCCUUUUUCAGACAAUAGUUAAAUUUUGUACUAUAAUUUUUAACCCCAUAACACAUCAAAUAAGUAGAGUAUAAAAAGCAAUAUUUCAAUAUUAUGCAUUUAGGCUGAUAUAAAGUGUACUAAUUAAGUUUAUACUACUUUUUAAAAUCAGAAAAUAUCAUGUGAACAAAACUUAGAUUAUACAUCAUAUUUGAUGAACCCAAAAGAAGGGCAGGACUGGGUAUGGUUUAUAGGGUGUAAAUGCUGCUUAUUACAGGAUAUUUUAUUCUAACUACUAUCUCAGAAGAAAAAAAAGUGGAAUAAAAAGCAAUGUUAUGGAAAAUAACUGAAUAUUUUAGUUUUGGUGCUAGAGAGAAUCUAAUUUUCAUUUUUAUUUAAGCAGACUCUAUGACUACAUGCAGAAACGCUAGCAAUUGUUUCAUCUGGGUCCUAUAGAAGACUGUGACCUUCUGGGGAGGAUCUGUCAAUUCACUGAUGUUAGAAAAGUAACCAGCUUUAACUCAGGGCAGACUGACUUGGAAUAAUGUAAAACCAAACCAGGAUAUCAUAAGGUAAUCUAAGAGCUUAUGUAGAAAAAGCUAAAAUACAAAAUUUCAAUUAAUAUUAGCUCUAAUCAAUAGUCACUGGAGAAAAUAGUUAUAUGGGUUUAAAUUGUGAACUUUUGAAGUAGUUAUAUAGAAAAGAAAAACCUUCAAGUCUUUAUGUUUUAGAAGUUUGAACACAGAGUGCUUCAGCAAAGAAGAAUCCCUUCUCCAAAUCCUUUGCUGUUUGUGAAAUAUUUAUGCAGGUGAAAAUGAAAGAAAUGUUUCCAUAUGAAGAAGUUAGUAAUGGAACUCGUCAUUCUCUUUUUAUAGUCAUAUAUUGACUGUAUGUCAUUCAGUAUCCUUGGCUAUUAGAGAAUGGCCACAGCACAGAAUGACUGGGAGCAGAGAUAGUCUCCAAAUAGUCUGGAUUUGAUAUUUAAAUGUCUUAAAUAUACAUGUCAAUUAUAGAAAUAAUAUUAUGAACAUGGCCAGUUAGAAUUUGAAGCAUUACAACAUCAGAGCAGUCACAUUUUAUUGUAAUAAAAUGAAUGUGGGCUUUGGGGCAGACUUACUUGUAUUCAAAUUCAGGUGCUGCCACUUUGAGUGAGUCUUUAAGCAAAAAAAUUUUUUUUUCAUUUUUAAUGUUUAUGGGUACAUAAUAGAUAUAUAUCUAUAUACUAUAUAUAGAUAUAUACUUACGGAGUACACGAGACUUUUUAACACAGGCAUACAAUGCUGGACAAAAAUUUUUUAUUUCACUUUAAUAGUAAUUUGUAGUAGUAGCACAGUCAAAACAGUAAUAAUAGUAUUUAUUGAGCAUUUACUGUGUUCCAGGCAUCAUUCUAAGUUCUUUUCUAUAUUCCUUUAAUUCUCACAAAAUCCAAUGAGAUAAGUAUUAUUAAUAUCCUCAUUUUACAGAAAAAAAUUGUCACCAAUUU